CUUUCACUUCCGCAUGAUCUCUGCGGGUGGCACUCUGCAAUUAAGUCAUUUGAGACACCGCAUUUAUUAUCACUGUGGAUCUCUGCUCCUUGGGUGUUGAGUUACCAAUUCUUUGAAGAAACAUAUUUUGAAGAGGUAUGAGAGGAAGGAAUACAUUUUAUAAAAUGUUACAGUGAAGCCCACAAUUGACCUUUCACUAAUAGGAGUUUUAAGUAUGUUAAAAAUCUAUACUGGACAGUUACAAGAAAUUACCAGAGAAAGAGAAGCUUGUGAGCUUGCCAAACAAGGAUUUCAGGGUAGAUUUUUAUCUUUCACAAAUGAACUUAAAGGAACAAAUGACAGUUAAAGUUUGAAUGGAAGAGCCUGCUGUCGUUCCACAUCUAGUUGUUGCUGUUUAUAUUCCUUUGUGGAGCCUACAUUUUCCUAAGCUUUUUAGUCAUCGCUGCAGAAAGAUAAAAGAAAUAUCCACACAUCCUUCCUACCUGGGGUGGGGUCAAGGAUGAAGUUUAGGAGGCCAAAGUUGAGUGGUGCGGAUCAGGAUCCCAGAGAUCACAGGAAACACCUAGAGCACAGUCAGAUAUGGUGGUGGGUUGGAAACCGA
RNAcentral lists this long non-coding RNA (601 nucleotides) under Pan troglodytes (chimpanzee). RNAcentral describes it as "long non-coding RNA NONPTRT001503". The record is from RNAcentral. Lineage: Eukaryota; Metazoa; Chordata; Mammalia; Primates; Hominidae.